AUUGAACGCUGGCGGCAGGCCUAACACAUGCAAGUCGAGCGGUAGAGAGAAGCUUGCUUCUCUUGAGAGCGGCGGACGGGUGAGUAAUGCCUAGGAAUCUGCCUGGUAGUGGGGGAUAACGUUCGGAAACGGACGCUAAUACCGCAUACGUCCUACGGGAGAAAGCAGGGGACCUUCGGGCCUUGCGCUAUCAGAUGAGCCUAGGUCGGAUUAGCUAGUUGGUGGGGUAAUGGCUCACCAAGGCGACGAUCCGUAACUGGUCUGAGAGGAUGAUCAGUCACACUGGAACUGAGACUCGGUCCAGACUCCUACGGGAGGCAGAAGUGGGGAAUAUUGGACAAUGGGCGAAAGCCUGAUCCAGCCAUGCCGCGUGUGUGAAGAAGGUCUUCGGAUUGUAAAGCACUUUAAGUUGGGAGGAAGGGCAGUAAAUUAAUGCUUUGCUGUUUUGACGUUACCGACAGAAUAAGCACCGGCUAACUCUGUGCCAGCAGCCGCGGUA
RNAcentral lists this ribosomal RNA (499 nucleotides) under uncultured Pseudomonas sp. Its description in RNAcentral is "bacterial SSU rRNA". It matches the Rfam family "Bacterial small subunit ribosomal RNA", at positions 30 to 522 of the family's 1533-position model. Lineage: Bacteria; Pseudomonadati; Pseudomonadota; Gammaproteobacteria; Pseudomonadales; Pseudomonadaceae. The record is from RNAcentral.